RNAcentral lists this long non-coding RNA (378 nucleotides) under Nicotiana benthamiana. Its description in RNAcentral is "long non-coding RNA (NBEN_LNC022637)". Lineage: Eukaryota; Viridiplantae; Streptophyta; Magnoliopsida; Solanales; Solanaceae. The record is from RNAcentral.
UUCUGAAUAGAGGAACAGUGGGUAAUUUAUUUAACAAUUGUUCAAAGUUCACGCUGGGAGAUGAAGACAUAGACAGCGGAGUAAAAGCCCAACCAUAAUAUUCGUGGGCCUACUCAUUCGCUCUGAUCAUAUGUUUUUGUUCUUUCAUAGGACUUGCAUCAAAUGUUGAUAUAACUUGCAGUUCAUGACUUUUAUUUUCUUCUCUCUUUUUCUUUUUUCUUAAGCAAUAAUUUUCAAUCCAUGCUAUUGUUUAGGUUAUGUGAUUUAGCUUCCCACAAUCGACUAUGUAAUAAUUUGUAUUAUCCAGCCAAAUGUGAAAUCAUCACCAAUUAGCCCUACAAUUUCCCCAGCUCGGUCGAACGAUAAAUAUUUGUCUCG